AGAAGUCGUCGAAGGGGGAAUCAAUAACUGGGGUGAAGUCGUAACAAGGUAGCCGUAUCGGAAGGUGCGGCUGGAUCACCUCCUUUCUAAGGAGA
RNAcentral lists this ribosomal RNA (95 nucleotides) under Clostridioides difficile. RNAcentral's name for it is "partial 16S ribosomal RNA". It matches the Rfam family "Bacterial small subunit ribosomal RNA", at positions 1448 to 1533 of the family's 1533-position model. The record is from RNAcentral. Lineage: Bacteria; Bacillati; Bacillota; Clostridia; Peptostreptococcales; Peptostreptococcaceae.